GAUGGAAGAUUUUCAAUAUAGGCAAAGAAACAAAAUACUCUGAACAGGCCCCCAGACCAAUGAGAACAUCAAACAAGAUGAAUGAAAACGGAGAGACAAAAGUUUUCAGCGGAUCCUUACUCGGACAUUCUCCAAAAUUCGUGGAAUUGAUUUCUCUCUCUCUCUCACCCUUGCUCAAUCCCGACGCAGGUGAAGGUGACAUAGC
Molecule: long non-coding RNA, 205 nt
Filed under: Homo sapiens (human)
Lineage: Eukaryota; Metazoa; Chordata; Mammalia; Primates; Hominidae
Description: HSALNT0055674
Source: RNAcentral